Molecule: ribosomal RNA, 451 nt
Filed under: uncultured bacterium
Lineage: Bacteria
Description: bacterial SSU rRNA
Rfam family: Bacterial small subunit ribosomal RNA
Source: RNAcentral
UAUGGCUCAGAGCGAACGCUGGCGGCAGGCUUAACACAUGCAAGUCGAGCGCCCGCAAGGGGAGCGGCAGACGGAGAGUAACACGUGGGAACGUACCUUUCAGUUCGGAACAACCAAGGGAAACUUUGGCUAAUACCGGAUACGCCCGUAAGGGGAAAGAUUUAUCGCUGAAAGAUCGGCCCGCGUCUGAUUAGCUAGUUGGUGGGGUAAAUGGCCCACCAAGGCGACGAUCAGUAGCUGGUCUGAGAGGAUGAUCAGCCUCACUGGGACUGAGACACGGCCCAGACUCCUACGGGAGGCAGCAGUGGGGAAUAUUGGACAAUGGGCGCAAGCCUGAUCCAGCCAUGCCGCGUGGAUGAUGAAGGCCUUAGGGUUGUAAAGUCCUUUUAACGGGGAAGAUAAUGACGGUACCCGUAGAAUAAGCCCCGGCUAACUUCGUGCCAGCAGCUGC